GUAGUCUCGCACAGAUGCAUAUCAAUAAGCGGAGGAAAAGAAACUAACUAGGAUUCCCUCAGUAACGGCGAGUGAAGCGGGAAGAGCUCAAAUUUGAAAUCUUCAAGGUUCUACCUUGACGAAUUGUAGUUUAAAGAAGUGUUUUCUGUUGGAGUUUUGGUAAAAGUUCUUUGGAAUAGGACAUCAUAGAGGGUGAGAAUCCCGUAUUUGACCAUUAUUUCCAGCUUUGUGAUACACUUUCAAAGAGUCGGAUUGUUUGGGAAUGCAGUCCAAAAUGGGUGGUAAAUUUCAUCUAAAGCUAAAUACUGGCGAGAGACCGAUAGCGAACAAGUACCGUGAGGGAAAGAUGAAAAGAACUUUGAAAAGAGAGUUAAACAGUACGUGAAAUUGUCAAAAGGGAAGCGUUUGACACCAGUGUUGUUUUCUCGAAAAUCAAUUAAAAAAGGCAGGAUUUUGUGUUGUAUUGACUUUAUCAGCUUUCUGCACUCUUUUUUUGCCUUUUUUUAAUGCACUUUUCGUUUAACAAGUCAACAUCAAUUUCUUUUGUUGUAAAAGGGUCAUUGGAAGGUGGCUUUCUUUUCGGAGAAAGUGUUUAUAGCCUUUGGCCUCUGCAAUCGGAGAGAUUGAGGUCUGCAGCGUAGAUCCUUCGGGGUUAGAUACAUUUGUGCUAAGUUAUAGCCUUUCAUAGACAACUUGUUGACUAUGAUCAGUCAUGUAGCUUACUCGCUUAUGCUAUUUUACCUACGCUUAGGAUGUUGAAGUCAUCGUAUCGCGC
Molecule: ribosomal RNA, 775 nt
Filed under: uncultured Neocallimastigales
Lineage: Eukaryota; Fungi; Neocallimastigomycota; Neocallimastigomycetes; Neocallimastigales
Description: partial large subunit ribosomal RNA
Rfam family: Eukaryotic large subunit ribosomal RNA
Source: RNAcentral